This 310-nucleotide ribosomal RNA is filed under the name uncultured bacterium. RNAcentral's name for it is "bacterial SSU rRNA". It matches the Rfam family "Bacterial small subunit ribosomal RNA", at positions 32 to 325 of the family's 1533-position model. The record is from RNAcentral.
AAUCAACGCUGGCGGCGUGCCUAACACAUGCAAGUCGAACGCGAAAGUGGAGCAAUCCAUGAGUAGAGUGGCAAACGGGUGAGUAACACGUGGGUGACCUGCCUUCGAGCGGGGGAUAACGUCCCGAAAGGGACGCUAAUACCGCAUAACAUCCUGCCUUUGAACAGGCGGAGAUCAAAGCUGGGGAUCGCAAGACCUAGCACUUGAAGAGGGGCCCGCGUCCGAUAGCUAGUUGGUGAGGUAACGGCUCACCAAGGCAACGAUCGGUAGCCGGCCUGAGAGGGCGGACGGCCACACUGGGACUGGAGAC